Hippocampus comes (tiger tail seahorse) is the source of this 1277-nucleotide long non-coding RNA. RefSeq lists it as uncharacterized. The record is from RefSeq and is a predicted model, not a curated record. The transcript has 2 exons. NCBI's taxonomy places the organism in Eukaryota, Metazoa, Chordata, Actinopteri, Syngnathiformes, Syngnathidae.
AGUGCGGAAAUGCUUAUGGCUCGAUGCAUUACCGGGUCGCAUUUUAGGCUUUGCCUUCAACCUCGAAAUGUGAUCAAUGCAAUCAAAAUGAAUGCCCGUCUUUAGCUCGUGAGAGGAAAACUAUCCAUGCGGUUGUCUUCGUCACCGAGCCACAUAAGCACAUCUGUGAGUGGCUGGAUCACUCAAGGAAAAGCGCACUCUUGUGGACUCAGAGAGGAAACAAGUCAUUUUGUUUUAUUUAUUUUUUAUUUUUUUACACGUGUCCGGAUUUCUCCACGCUUGCCGGAUUUGCAGAAAGUUGGUGGCGUGGUCAAGGCGCUUAAGGGACAGCUGAUGACGCGCAGUUUUAACUUGAGGUGUUUAUUGUUGGUGACCUCGGUUGUCUUUUUUCCUUCCCUGGUGCACUUUCAAGCAUGUUUCGCUCUCUCGAUCGAGCGGCGCGCGUACACCAAGCCAGAAACGCACGGCGCCCACUCCCUGAGAUUUCUCAAUUUGACAUGGAGUGCCUUCAUAUGCCUCCUGCCACGUCACCCACCAUCGCGCGUCUUUGUUUCUGUAGACUUAUCGGAUUUCAUUCGACAUGAACCGCCUAUUUUGGUGGCGCAGUCAAUCGAUCAAUCGCACAAGCUUCAACCCUCUCUGCACUUUCAUUUCUAGGCUUGUGUCGCCCUCAAGCGGACAUUAUUGGAAGCUACAUACGAUGUACCGCGUUCCGGAGAGAGAGAACGAGGGUGAACCCAAGAGUUAGCGGUGCUGGAUCACAGUCGAGCCUCGUUCCUCCACACCUCGAGGGACAUCACGAAUCUUUCAGGAUGUGCCGCACCCUGAAGCCGUUAACGAUCAUCUUUCAAGCUGUUGGCCACCAACUUUGCCAAGCUUCCGUUUGGCAGACAUCUUCGGACACUCUGUGCGUCGUGUCACCCGGAAGUACAACCAUGUACGGACAGGGUCAAUCAGUAGUGUUGCUGAGCAACGGAGGGGAAUCUCAAGCCGUUCAUAAGCACUGGUCGUGGUGGCAGUUUGGUGGAACCAAAGCCUUUUCACUAUUUUGUGGGGAAAAUCCGGCCGUUAUAAUGACGUUGACAUUAAAAUGACUGUUGUUCUGUCUCCCCUGCAGCCAAAGCAAAUAUAAUCACCCACAUUCUACAAGUGGUUCUGUGCGGUAUCACAAAAAUAAUGUUUUCUUUUGCUUUGUUUUAUUCUGUCUGCAGCCAGGUUGGCAUCACAUCUUUUCUCAGUUGCCAUACCUGGAUAAAUAAAAAUUGAAUCAACAUAUA